Molecule: transfer RNA, 72 nt
Filed under: Rhopalosiphum maidis (corn leaf aphid)
Lineage: Eukaryota; Metazoa; Arthropoda; Insecta; Hemiptera; Aphididae
Description: tRNA-Glu
Rfam family: tRNA
About the family: Transfer RNA (tRNA) molecules are approximately 80 nucleotides in length. Their secondary structure includes four short double-helical elements and three loops (D, anti-codon, and T loops).
Source: RNAcentral
UCCGGUAUGGUCUAGUGGCUAGGAUACCUGGCUUUCACCCAGGAGGGCCGGGUUCGAUUCCCGGUACCGGAA